ACGACUUUACUUGAACAAGAUCUGUUCUUUAGGAUUGUACGUCUGUUUCCUUGAUCACAAAGGAGACGGGAACGCAAACCUUGUGGAUGAAUCGUGGCUGUGUGAUCAGAGCGUGAUUAAUGGUUAGAUGAGUUCGUGGAGUCCCAUCCAUUGAGCCGUAGAGGAUCAUUCUCAGCUGGUUCAGCCAUUUGAGAUGGUUGGGAUGGCACACGGCUGUCUGACAGGUC
Molecule: small nucleolar RNA, 227 nt
Organism: Quercus robur (English oak)
Lineage: Eukaryota; Viridiplantae; Streptophyta; Magnoliopsida; Fagales; Fagaceae
Product: small nucleolar RNA U3
Exons: 1
Source: RefSeq, a predicted model, not a curated record